CUGCCACCGAAUACAUUAGCAUGGGAUAAUGGAAUAGGACCCUGUCCUCCUAUUUUCAGUUGGUUUUGGCAGCGCGAGGACUAGGGUAAUGAUUAAUAGGGAUAGUUGGGGGCAUUAAUAUUUAAUUGUCAGAGGUGAAAUUCUUGGAUUUAUGAAAGAUUAACUUCUGCGAAAGCAUCUGCCAAGGAUGUUUUCAUUAAUCAAGAACGAAAGUUAGGGGAUCGAAGACGAUCAGAUACCGUCGUAGUCUUAACCAUAAACGAUGCCGACCAGCGAUUAGGAGACGUUGAAUACAAAACACCACCAUCGGUGCGGUCNUCCU
RNAcentral lists this ribosomal RNA (322 nucleotides) under Acanthamoeba castellanii. Its description in RNAcentral is "SSU rRNA". It matches the Rfam family "Eukaryotic small subunit ribosomal RNA", at positions 789 to 1081 of the family's 1831-position model. Lineage: Eukaryota; Discosea; Longamoebia; Acanthamoebidae. The record is from RNAcentral.